AUACGUAGGUGGCGAGCGUUGUCCGGAAUUACUGGGUGUAAAGGGCGCGUAGGCGGGGAUGUAAGUCAGAUGUGAAAUACCAUGGCUCAACUGUGGGGCUGCAUCUGAAACUAUGUUUCUUGAGUGCUGGAGAGGAAAGCGGAAUUCCUAGUGUAGCGGUGAAAUGCGUAGAUAUUAGGAGGAACACCAGUGGCGAAGGCGGCUUUCUGGACAGUAACUGACGCUGAGGCGCGAAAGCGUGGGGAGCAAACAGGAUUAGAUACCCUGGUAGUCCACGCCGUAAACGAUGGAUACUAGGUGUAGGAGGUAUCGACCCCUUCUGUGCCGGAGUUAACACAAUAAGUAUCCCACCUGGGGAGUACGGCCGCAAGGUUGAA
RNAcentral lists this ribosomal RNA (377 nucleotides) under uncultured bacterium. RNAcentral describes it as "bacterial SSU rRNA". It matches the Rfam family "Bacterial small subunit ribosomal RNA", at positions 523 to 898 of the family's 1533-position model. The record is from RNAcentral.